This 200-nucleotide ribosomal RNA is filed under the name uncultured eukaryote. RNAcentral's name for it is "partial 18S ribosomal RNA". It matches the Rfam family "Eukaryotic small subunit ribosomal RNA", at positions 588 to 789 of the family's 1831-position model. The record is from RNAcentral.
GCUCCAAUAGCGUAUAUUAAAGUUGUUGCGGUUAAAAAGCUCGUAGUUGGAUUUCUGCUGAGGACGACCGGUCCGCCUCCUGGGCGAGUAUCUGGCUCUGCCUUGGCAUCUUCUUGGAGAACGUAACUGCACUUGACUGUGUGGUGCGGUAACCAGGACUUUUUACUUUGAGGAAAUUAGAGUGUUUCAAGCAGGCGUGC